UCCAUCCUUUCGACGAAAUUUCUGAUCCCCUUCACGUUGCCGCCACCGGACGAGUUCCCAUGAUAUACCACCGGCCCUCCUUUUCCUCUAUUAAUUCUUGUCCGUGGUUGUCCAUCUCCGUGGGUACACCAAAGGGAGGAUUUGUCGAUCCUGUUUCCUGGCCGGCUGGUAGCAGUGGUGCGUGGUGGCCCGUUCCGAUGCGGCGGUUGCUGGCUUUGGGCUGCGAAUCCAGCCCCAAUCUCCCCAGAUGAUGAAUCGCCGGCGUUUUCGCCGAGGGCUUCCACGGUGGGUGAGGCGGACGUUCGUGGCAUGAUGCGAUGUCGAGCCGCCUCCGUCUUCACCCAUCUGUAGGCCGCCUCUAAUGAUGGGAGAGGAUCGUUCUUCAUUAUGUCUCGCCGGAUAGAAUCAUACUCCUGAUUCAGGCCGGUUAGAAAUUUGAUUAGCCGCUUGUUGUUUGAAAAAGUUCUGAACUGAUCGACUCCUUUGUCACAACAAGUGAACGGCUGUUUCUGGCAGCGAUCAACGUUGAUCCACAAUCCGUGGAUCCUCUGGUAAUACGUCUCUAGAUCGAGAUCCCCUCGUUUGAUGUUGAUUACUUUGUCUUCCAGGUCAUAUAUCAAGUACGGAUCUGCCUUGCUCUCAUAGGUUAUGGAAAAGCUUUCCCACAAAGCCUUCGAUGUUUGAAUGCUAUGGUGAUAUUCUUGCUGUUUUUCAGAUUUGGUGAUGGUUCUGGAUUGGUUUUGGUAUCUUGGUUAUCGUCUGUCAUGGUUUCUGAUGUGUAGGAUCUGGUUUCUGGUUUGAUCUUGGCUUAGAAAAGGUCGAGAAUCGGUAUCAGGCUAUGAUGAAGUAUUCUUUGAGCCAAAAAACGUUCCUGCUCUUGAUGCCAUGUUUAAAGGUUGGGGAAAGGUUUCAUUGUAUUUCUCAUUCAAAAAUAUACAUGCAUUAUUAUAUAGGACUAGUAAUAUCUAUACAAGGUAAAACUAUUUACAUUAAUUCCAUAUCUCCUAUUCUUGGUAAAGAUAAUAAUCGCAUAUCAUCUCCCUAUUCUGCCGUUAUCUUCCAAUA
Molecule: non-coding RNA, 1065 nt
Organism: Salvia hispanica
Lineage: Eukaryota; Viridiplantae; Streptophyta; Magnoliopsida; Lamiales; Lamiaceae
Source: RefSeq, a predicted model, not a curated record